Molecule: long non-coding RNA, 1652 nt
Filed under: Homo sapiens (human)
Lineage: Eukaryota; Metazoa; Chordata; Mammalia; Primates; Hominidae
Description: HSALNT0347063
Source: RNAcentral
GCUUAGAUAACAAUACAGUGCCUCUCUUUCUUUACCUCUUUCCCCACAAUUUCUUCCUUUUUCUUGAAUCCCAGCCCAUCCUUGAGGCCUGCCACCAAUUGGAAGAUCUUCAGUUCCACCUCUUUCCUGGACAUCUGACUGUAUUGCCCAUCAUUGUCUAUGCUCUGCCCACCGAGAAGAUGCAUCUGGAUCCCUGGUGUCACUUAUUGCUGAACUGUUUGAAUACCAAGUUAUACCGACCUGAAUCUCCCAAGUACCAACAGCAGCCUGGCUCGAAGCCAGAAGGAAUGACUGGAUAUCCCAAGUACCUGAUGGCCACAUAAACAUUUGAAGUAUCAAGCAUUAGAAGAAAGGUCUGUUCCCCAUCCUGACUUUGAGCAUGCUUCAUGGAGAAACUGCCUCCCAUAGACUAUCUGGCUCGAGCUCCCCUGCCCUCCAGUGGAUUUGGCCAAUAGGAGGCAUCAGCAAGAGAUGAGAGGGCAAGAGAAAAGAGAAGUGAGGAUAUUUCUCUCCCUUCUCCCCUCCCUGUAUUGGUGCCCCAUGCUGACAGGGGCUGUUUCCUUUGUUACUACAUCUCCUGCCAGACUACCCCUCCCUGGCUCCAGCCUCAUAAACUCUGCUGAAACUCAAUCUUCCCUUUGCCCUUUCAGGCCUAGGGGUAUGAACAGCUGUCUGUUCAACUUGGCUCCCUUAACCAUGCCCACACCUCUGUAAAUGAUCCCUUCAUUAAACUAUCUUCCCUUAAGUCCUUUUGUUUCUUGCUGUAACCUUAAUGGAUACACAAAGCUUCAUUUGCAACCUCCUUGCCAACUUUCAGAGCUUCAUAUCCACCUGAGACCCUGUUCUUUUGUUCAAACACAUAUAUUUGUUAGAUGUUUGGUAGGGUUUACAUGUGCAACAGUUAACAAGACAGUCUUUGCCUACAAAGAAUUUACAGUCUUGUUCUGAAUACGUGUAAGUAAAGAGUUCAUCAAAACAGUGGGUGAACCAUACAUUAGGGCUGUGUGACUCUGUGCUGGGUAUUUCUUCCUGGAUGUCACCCUGGCCUGAAUCUUCACAUCCAACAUUUAUCAUUCUGAACUCACUCCCCCAAGCCCACUCUCUACUACCUUUGUUGAUGACACCAACAUACCAUCUACUCAUUUGUCCAGGUUAGAACCUAUGGAGUCAUCCUACAUGCCUCUGACUUUCUUUUAUCGGUGUGAUAAAAAAUUUAUAAAUUUAUAGCCUAAAUUGCUUUCAGUCAUAUUCUCCUCACACUCAGUGUUCCUUCCCUGGUCCAGAUAUCCACAGCUUUUCUCUCCCAAUCUCAAAUCCUGCUCCCUUGAAUUCAUCCCCGACUGUGCCAUCCUGUCAGUUACUGACAACAUAUAAAACCGAUUGGAAUUCUAUUCUGGCCACAGCUUUUCUGGCCCCUUCACAAGUGAGUUUAAAAUGUAUACUCCUUUGUAAGUCUGACAAGGCCUUUUAUGAUCUGGCCCCUACCUGCCUAUCUAGCCUUGUUUCACCCAAGCUGCUCAACUACCACCUGACCCCAGCAAUGCUAAAGUUAUUAUGGUUUCCCAAACAUUCCAUACGCUCUCCUGUCAGGUCCACUGAGAACACUCUAUUUAUCUUUCUUUCUUUUGGAGUUUCACUCUUGUUGCCCAGGC